CAACAAAUCAGAAAAAGUUAGGUACUCUAAAACUCCCCAUACAUAAUUUUCUCUUUCAAACUACGACAAAAACAUAAAAAAAGGCAGAAAACAAUAAUGGAGAAAAACUAAGUCCUAGAUACAAUAAAUACAACGUCCACAUUCCGAGAAGAACUGUCAAACCAGGUAGCGUUGACUGAAAUGAGAAAAAAAAAAAAAAAAAACAGAAUCGAAAAGGUUGGUUAGCCAAUGAAAUGUACUCUGAACAAAACAUGUAGGCAUCCAGUGUAACAACCAGAAAUACCAUAAUAUACAGAGAUCCCAACCCUUACUUAGGAAACGGACACAAGAACAAGUGACAGGUAGCAGAGACAACAAGCAGAGUUGCAUACGUACCUGAUUAACCCAAACUAUUAAAGCUACAUACAUAGUUACAUAGCUGAAGAGAGACUUGCAUUCAUCAAGUUUCCCUUGCCUUAGACAAAAUCUUCUUUCUUCCAGUCUAAACGCAUGACCUUGUGUCCUAUGUACGGUUUGUGAAUAGAUUUCCACACAAUGGUUUGUAUUGGCCCCGAAUAUAUUUGUAUAAUGUUAUCAUAUCCCCUCUCAGGCGACGUUUUUCUAAACUAAAUAGGUUUAAAUUUGUUAUGUUCCAUUCUUUUUAUUCAUUUUGUAGCCUGCCUCUGCACUUUCUCUAAUGCCAUAAUAUACUUCUUUAGAACAGGUGCCCAAAAUUGCACAGCAUAUUCAAUAUGUGGUUUUACCAGUGAUUUAUAAAGAGGCAAAAUGAUAUUCUCGUCCCGAGAAUGAAUGCUCUUUUUCAUACAUGACAAUACCUUACUGGCCUUGGCCACUGCUGAUUAACAUUGCACAUUGUUGCAUAGUUUGUUGUCUAUAACAAUUCCCAAGUCCUUUUCGUGUGUUGUUAUCCCUAAUUCGCUUCCAUUAAGGGUAUACGUUGCUUGUGUAUUCUUUACGCCGAAGUGCAUAACUGCAUUUUUCAACAUUAUAUUUCAUCUGCCAUUUGAGUGCCCAGUCCCCCAGUCUAUCUAAAUCCCUCUGCAGCAAAGUAAUAUCUUGC
Molecule: non-coding RNA, 1060 nt
Organism: Pelobates cultripes (western spadefoot toad)
Lineage: Eukaryota; Metazoa; Chordata; Amphibia; Anura; Pelobatidae
Source: the annotation of a GenBank genome assembly